RNAcentral lists this ribosomal RNA (202 nucleotides) under uncultured bacterium. RNAcentral describes it as "partial 16S ribosomal RNA". It matches the Rfam family "Bacterial small subunit ribosomal RNA", at positions 524 to 724 of the family's 1533-position model. The record is from RNAcentral.
UACGUAGGGUGCAAGCGUUGUCCGGAAUCAUUGGGCGUAAAGCGCGUGUAGGCGGUCAUAUAAGUCUGUUGUGAAAGUCGGAGGCUCAACCUUCGAAAGCCGAUGGAUACUGUAUGACUUGAGUACGGAAGAGGAGAGUGGAAUUCCUGGUGUAGCGGUGAAAUGCGCAGAUAUCAGGAGGAACACCAGGCGGCGAAGGCGG